This 712-nucleotide ribosomal RNA is filed under the name uncultured euryarchaeote. RNAcentral describes it as "bacterial SSU rRNA". It matches the Rfam family "Archaeal small subunit ribosomal RNA", at positions 685 to 1403 of the family's 1478-position model. Lineage: Archaea; Methanobacteriati; Methanobacteriota. The record is from RNAcentral.
ACGGAUUCGACGGUGAGGGGCGAAGGCUGGGGGAGCGAACGGGAUUAGAUACCCCGGUAGUCCUAGCUGUAAAGCAUGCGGGCCAGGUGUCUGGUGUUCCUUGAGAGCACCAAGUGCCGGAGGGAAGCCGUUAAGCCCGCCGCCUGGGAAGUACGGUCGCAAGGCUGAAACUUAAAGAAAUUGGCGGGGGAGCACUACAAGGGGUGAGACCUGCGGUUCAAUUGGAUUCAACGCCGAAAAACUCACCAGGGGCGACAGUUGAUUGAAGGCCAGGUUGACGACCUUGCCGGACUAGCUGAGAGGUGGUGCAUGGCCGUCGUCAGCUCGUACCGUGAGGCGUCCUGUCAAGUCAGGUAACGAGCGAGACCCUCGCCCUUAGUUGCCAUCGAUGGGAAGUCGGGCACUCUAGGGGGACCGCUGGCGCUAAGUCAGAGGAAGGAGAGGGCAACGGUAGGUCCGUAUGCCCCGAAUCCCCUGGGCUACACGCGGGUCGCAAUGCGCAGGACAAUGGGAUGCAACCCCGUAAGGGGAAGCCAAUCCCCUAAACCUGCGCUCGGUUCGGAUCGAGGGCUGUAACUCGCCCUCGUGAAGCUGGAAUCCCCAGUAAUCGCGUGCCAACACCGCGCGGUGAAUACGUCCCUGCUCCUUGCACACACCGCCCGUCAAGCCAUUCGAGUGGGGUCUAGAUGAGGUUCGUUCAAGUUGGGCAGAC